This 472-nucleotide ribosomal RNA is filed under the name uncultured bacterium. Its description in RNAcentral is "partial 16S ribosomal RNA". It matches the Rfam family "Bacterial small subunit ribosomal RNA", at positions 28 to 507 of the family's 1533-position model. The record is from RNAcentral.
GACGAACGCUGGCGGCGUGCUUAACACAUGCAAGUCGAACGCUGAAGCUUGGUGCUUGCACUGGGUGGAUGAGUGGCGAACGGGUGAGUAAUACGUGAGUAACCUGCCCUUGACUCUGGGAUAAGCCUGGGAAACUGGGUCUAAUACUGGAUACGACAUGCCACUGCAUGGUGGUGUGUGGAAAGGGUUUUACUGGUUUUGGAUGGGCUCACGGCCUAUCAGCUUGUUGGUGGGGUAAUGGCCUACCAAGGCGACGACGGGUAGCCGGCCUGAGAGGGUGACCGGCCACACUGGGACUGAGACACGGCCCAGACUCCUACGGGAGGCAGCAGUGGGGAAUAUUGCACAAUGGGCGGAAGCCUGAUGCAGCGACGCCGCGUGAGGGAUGACGGCCUUCGGGUUGAAAACCUCUUUCAGCACGGAAGAAGCGAGAGUGACGGUACGUGCAGAAGAAGCGCCGGCUAACUACGUG